AAGAACUGAGCUACCUAAUUUCUCAUCAAGAAAAAGGGAAGGCCUGGAAAUUUAUUUAAUUACAUUAAUUAAUAAAUAUACAUCUCUUAUGCAUAUAUUAAUAAUUAAAUCGUCCAAAUACAAAAAGUGCAGAAAAAGCAAAUUUCACAAACAUCACUAGAUUGAGCCGUCCCCGCCAAUACCACACCGCAGCAACGCCAUCUGCGCCGCCGCCCACCGCCGCCACCAAAGUCAGAAUCCCACUUGAAAAGAUUGAAUUUUGGAACCAACCCAAAUCAAACGAGAGCCAAAAAGAAGAGCCCUUUUCUUGGCAGCAUCAAUAGCAGCUUCCACAUUAGCCUUCACCGUCACUUGCCGCCACCUCUUCCGCCGCACCGGCGGCCACCGCCGGCAGCCGCUGCUCAGCCCUACUGCAAUGCACAUUGUUGAUCAGCAAAUAAUCAUCCUUUAUCAAAAAUCUGAAGCACACAUAUAUAUAUAUAUAUAUAUACUUUUCUUAGCUUUACUAUUUAUAUCGGCCCAGAAAAUUUGAGAGUCAAAUUAGCGUUGUGUGUGUGUGUGUGUGUGUGUGUGUGUGUGUGUGUGUAAAUAUGUGUGUACUGGCUGUAGAGUGGUGACUAUUUUCUGUAUGAAUGCAAUGAGGCCAAGUAAAUUCGCAUGAAACAAGGGCUUUCCGUGUUUGUAC
RNAcentral lists this long non-coding RNA (685 nucleotides) under Erythranthe guttata (spotted monkey flower). RNAcentral describes it as "long non-coding RNA (EGUT_LNC001488)". Lineage: Eukaryota; Viridiplantae; Streptophyta; Magnoliopsida; Lamiales; Phrymaceae. The record is from RNAcentral.